AUUCCCUGAGUAACUGCGAGUGAAACGGGACCAGCCCAGCGCCGAAUCCUUUCUGGCAACAGUGAAGGAACUGUGGCGUGUAGAAGGCGUCUGCCAGUGUGGUUAACCUGCGCAAGUUCUCCUGAGCGAGACUCCAUCCCAUGGAGGGUGCAAGGCCCGUAUCGCAGGUAACUGAUGCUGGUUAGCGUCUUUCGGAGAGUCGCCUUAUUUGCGAGUAUAAGGUGAAGUCGGUGGUAAACUCCAUCGAAGGCUAAAUAUGACCACGAGUCCGAUAGCGAACAAGUACCGUGAGGGAAAAUUGAAAAGCACUUUGAAGAGAGAGCGAAACAGUGCGUGAAACCGCUCAGAGGCAAGCAGAUGGGGCCUCGAAGGCAGAGCAGCGAAUUCAGCCGGCAGUAGGGCAUGGUUGGCGGUGGCUUGGGAUUGCUAAGACCCGGCUGCUGUCAGUGCGUUGUGCGACUGCCGGUGCACUUUCGUUGUAUUGUACACAACCGCCGUUGAGCGAGCAUCCGUUCGGCUGGCAGCGUGAAGCCCAUAGCCUGUCAAAGGGUGUUGGUGCUUACAGCUGGCAUGUAACGCGUUUGCGCCUCAACCGGUCAUUCAUGGCAUGUACCAGCUGUUUAUACGGCAGUUGGGCCGGUAUGCUCCGAUUGGGCGCUAGGGAUGACGAUCGCAAGUUCGGCUUCUUAGCGUCACAGUGGACUCGUUGCCGGUCUUCAACGUAGGUACAUUGUUGAUUCGGUUGUGAG
RNAcentral lists this ribosomal RNA (749 nucleotides) under Mesobiotus dilimanensis. RNAcentral describes it as "partial large subunit ribosomal RNA". It matches the Rfam family "Eukaryotic large subunit ribosomal RNA", at positions 74 to 631 of the family's 3401-position model. The record is from RNAcentral. Lineage: Eukaryota; Metazoa; Tardigrada; Eutardigrada; Parachela; Macrobiotidae.